CCUUACCAACCCUUGACAUCCUGUGCUACAUCCAGAGAUGGAUGGUUCCCUUCGGGGACGCAGUGACAGGUGCUGCAUGGCUGUCGUCAGCUCGUGUCGUGAGAUGUUCGGUUAAGUCCGGCAACGAGCGCAACCCACAUCUUCAGUUGCCAGCAGUUCGGCUGGGCACUCUGGAGAAACUGCCCGUGAUAAGCGGGAGGAAGGUGUGGAUGACGUCAAGUCCUCAUGGCCCUUACGGGUUGGGCUACACACGUGCUACAAUGGUGGUGACAGUGGGUUAAUCCCCAAAAGCCAUCUCAGUUCGGAUUGUGGUCUGCAACUCGACCCCAUAAGUCGGUCUCGUAUGCUGUCACGUCACGACCAUGCUCC
RNAcentral lists this ribosomal RNA (369 nucleotides) under uncultured bacterium. RNAcentral describes it as "bacterial SSU rRNA". It matches the Rfam family "Bacterial small subunit ribosomal RNA", at positions 969 to 1334 of the family's 1533-position model. The record is from RNAcentral.